Molecule: ribosomal RNA, 277 nt
Filed under: Staphylococcus aureus
Lineage: Bacteria; Bacillati; Bacillota; Bacilli; Caryophanales; Staphylococcaceae
Description: partial 23S ribosomal RNA
Rfam family: Bacterial large subunit ribosomal RNA
Source: RNAcentral
GGUUAACGCCCAGAAGAGCCUCAGUGAUUAGGCCCAAGCGACUGUUUAUCAAAAACACAGUUCUCUGCUAAACCGUAAGGUGAUGUAUAGGGGCUGACGCCUGCCCGGUGCUGGAAGGUUAAUAGGAGUGGUUAGCUUCUGCGAAGCUACGAAUCGAAGCCCCAGUAAACUGCGGCCGUAACUAUAACGGUCCUAAGGUAGCGAAAUUCCUUGUCUGGUCAGUUCAGACCCGCACGAAAGGCGUAACGAUUUGGGCACUGACUCAACGAGAGACUCG